This 1373-nucleotide long non-coding RNA is filed under the name Callithrix jacchus (white-tufted-ear marmoset). Its description in RNAcentral is "lncRNA (ENSCJAG00000074910.1)". Lineage: Eukaryota; Metazoa; Chordata; Mammalia; Primates; Cebidae. The record is from RNAcentral.
UGGAAAUCAAAAUGGUAACAAGAUUCCAUAAAGUCAUUAUAGAAACCAUAUAAAUGUAUAUUUAAGGCAUCCCAAAAUUAAUAGAAGUACUGGACACAAGUAAAGAAGAUGCUGCAUUAGCUUGCUAGGGCUACCAUAACAAAAUACCAUAUACUGGGUGGCUUAAGCACAGAAACUUGUUUUCUUAUAGUUCUGGAAGCUGGGAGUCUAAGGUCAAGGUAUUAGUGGGCUUGGCUUCUGCUGAGGUCUCUCACCUAGUCUUGCAUAUGGCCACCUUCUCUGUGUUGCCACGUGGUCUUUCCUCUGCGCUCAGGCAUAUCCGCUGUCUCUUUAUGUGCCCACAUUUCUUCUUCUUAUAAGGACAUGUGUCAUAUUGGAAUAGGGCUCCUCGAACAGCCUCAUUUUAACUUACUCACUUUUUAAAUGUUCAAUCUCAAAUACAGUCAAAUUCUGAGGCUCUUGGAAGCGAGGGCUUCCAUACAUGAAUUUGGAGGGAUGCAAUUCAGCCGAUGGCAGAUCAAUACAAUAAAGGCACCAAAGAUAUAUUGUGGGCCUUACCUCCUUCAGCAAGAUGCUAGAUUUUUGUUUGGAAUCUACUUUUCUCCACUUUGGGUCUAUCCUGGUUUGAGAAAAGACACUGCUGGACUUCAGCACACCACAUUCUUCCAGGCCACAAUCAAAUGUUCAAGACCCAAUCCAAGUAGAUCUCAGGAAUUCUGCAGUAGAGGCAUCCAAAUGGUGUCUGGAUUACCCUUGGCAGAGUUUCUUCGUGAAGAUGAGAAUAUUUGGUAUACUAGGCACUGAAAGGAGAUUCUCUGUACUGAGAUCCAUGGACCUGUGCAUGAUUCACCUCAGAGGGGUCUGUGAUAUUGUAGAUUAUCUUAAGGUUCAAUGUGCACAGCUGAAUUCUUCCAAAGAGUGUUUUCAAGAAAUAUUUGCCAACAAUUCCUCAGAUGUGAGGAAAUGGGAAAUAGCCUUCUGAAGGGUCAAGUCUAAUGCGGGCAAUAGAGAGUGAAGAGACAAAAAGACAUCAGGUUCACUAGACAAAGGGGCCCUGGCAAGGACUCACACCAAAUCUUGAGAUUCCAGGAAGUCACUUUUGAGAGAAAACACAAGGAAUGGUUGGGACUCAUCCAGGUGAGGUUAGGAAUCAGAAAAGUUAAGAUCUCAUGACCAAGAAGAUUUUUUCUAAGAACAGUAUAAGGGGAUGCAAGAUAUGGGGUAUGCCCAGAACAGUCCACCUCUGCAGCCAGGAUCCAAACUCUUAAGGACCAAUUCUCUUUGCUCCGAGCGACCAGAACGAUCAUUUUCCCAUAAGUCAGAGCUUGACAACAGUCAAGAUACCAAAUAGGCCUACAAGAACAGCAUCCACA